GGGUUGUGAGGUUAAGCGACUAAGCGUACACGGUGGAUGCCCUGGCAGUCAGAGGCGAUGAAGGACGUGCUAAUCUGCGAUAAGCGUCGGUAAGGUGAUAUGAACCGUUAUAACCGGCGAUUUCCGAAUGGGGAAACCCAGUGUGUUUCGACACACUAUCAUUAACUGAAUCCAUAGGUUAAUGAGGCGAACCGGGGGAACUGAAACAUCUAAGUACCCCGAGGAAAAGAAAUCAACCGAGAUUCCCCCAGUAGCGGCGAGCGAACGGGGAGCAGCCCAGAGCCUGAAUCAGUGUGUGUGUUAGUGGAAGCGUCUGGAAAGGCGCGCGAUACAGGGUGACAGCCCCGUACACAAAAAUGCACAUGCUGUGAGCUCGAUGAGUAGGGCGGGACACGUGGUAUCCUGUCUGAAUAUGGGGGGACCAUCCUCCAAGGCUAAAUACUCCUGACUGACCGAUAGUGAACCAGUACCGUGAGGGAAAGGCGAAAAGAACCCCGGCGAGGGGAGUGAAAAAGAACCUGAAACCGUGUACGUACAAGCAGUGGGAGCACGCUUCGGCGUGUGACUGCGUACCUUUUGUAUAAUGGGUCAGCGACUUAUAUUCUGUAGCAAGGUUAACCGAAUAGGGGAGCCGAAGGGAAACCGAGUCUUAACUGGGCGUUAAGUUGCAGGGUAUAGACCCGAAACCCGGUGAUCUAGCCAUGGGCAGGUUGAAGGUUGGGUAACACUAACUGGAGGACCGAACCGACUAAUGUUGAAAAAUUAGCGGAUGACUUGUGGCUGGGGGUGAAAGGCCAAUCAAACCGGGAGAUAGCUGGUUCUCCCCGAAAGCUAUUUAGGUAGCGCCUCGUGAAUUCAUCUCCGGGGGUAGAGCACUGUUUCGGCAAGGGGGUCAUCCCGACUUACCAACCCGAUGCAAACUGCGAAUACCGGAGAAUGUUAUCACGGGAGACACACGGCGGGUGCUAACGUCCGUCGUGAAGAGGGAAACAACCCAGACCGCCAGCUAAGGUCCCAAAGUCAUGGUUAAGUGGGAAACGAUGUGGGAAGGCCCAGACAGCCAGGAUGUUGGCUUAGAAGCAGCCAUCAUUUAAAGAAAGCGUAAUAGCUCACUGGUCGAGUCGGCCUGCGCGGAAGAUGUAACGGGGCUAAACCAUGCACCGAAGCUGCGGCAGCGACGCUUAUGCGUUGUUGGGUAGGGGAGCGUUCUGUAAGCCUGUGAAGGUGUGCUGUGAGGCAUGCUGGAGGUAUCAGAAGUGCGAAUGCUGACAUAAGUAACGAUAAAGCGGGUGAAAAGCCCGCUCGCCGGAAGACCAAGGGUUCCUGUCCAACGUUAAUCGGGGCAGGGUGAGUCGACCCCUAAGGCGAGGCCGAAAGGCGUAGUCGAUGGGAAACAGGUUAAUAUUCCUGUACUUGGUGUUACUGCGAAGGGGGGACGGAGAAGGCUAUGUUGGCCGGGCGACGGUUGUCCCGGUUUAAGCGUGUAGGCUGGUUUUCCAGGCAAAUCCGGAAAAUCAAGGCUGAGGCGUGAUGACGAAGCACUACGGUGCUGAAGCAACAAAUGCCCUGCUUCCAGGAAAAGCCUCUAAGCAUCAGGUAACAUCAAAUCGUACCCCAAACCGACACAGGUGGUCAGGUAGAGAAUACCAAGGCGCUUGAGAGAACUCGGGUGAAGGAACUAGGCAAAAUGGUGCCGUAACUUCGGGAGAAGGCACGCUGAUAUGUAGGUGAAGUCCCUUGCGGAUGGAGCUGAAAUCAGUCGAAGAUACCAGCUGGCUGCAACUGUUUAUUAAAAACACAGCACUGUGCAAACACGAAAGUGGACGUAUACGGUGUGACGCCUGCCCGGUGCCGGAAGGUUAAUUGAUGGGGUCAGCGCAAGCGAAGCUCUUGAUCGAAGCCCCGGUAAACGGCGGCCGUAACUAUAACGGUCCUAAGGUAGCGAAAUUCCUUGUCGGGUAAGUUCCGACCUGCACGAAUGGCGUAAUGAUGGCCAGGCUGUCUCCACCCGAGACUCAGUGAAAUUGAACUCGCUGUGAAGAUGCAGUGUACCCGCGGCAAGACGGAAAGACCCCGUGAACCUUUACUAUAGCUUGACACUGAACAUUGAGCCUUGAUGUGUAGGAUAGGUGGGAGGCUUUGAAGUGUGGACGCCAGUCUGCAUGGAGCCGACCUUGAAAUACCACCCUUUAAUGUUUGAUGUUCUAACGUUGACCCGUAAUCCGGGUUGCGGACAGUGUCUGGUGGGUAGUUUGACUGGGGCGGUCUCCUCCUAAAGAGUAACGGAGGAGCACGAAGGUUGGCUAAUCCUGGUCGGACAUCAGGAGGUUAGUGCAAUGGCAUAAGCCAGCUUGACUGCGAGCGUGACGGCGCGAGCAGGUGCGAAAGCAGGUCAUAGUGAUCCGGUGGUUCUGAAUGGAAGGGCCAUCGCUCAACGGAUAAAAGGUACUCCGGGGAUAACAGGCUGAUACCGCCCAAGAGUUCAUAUCGACGGCGGUGUUUGGCACCUCGAUGUCGGCUCAUCACAUCCUGGGGCUGAAGUAGGUCCCAAGGGUAUGGCUGUUCGCCAUUUAAAGUGGUACGCGAGCUGGGUUUAGAACGUCGUGAGACAGUUCGGUCCCUAUCUGCCGUGGGCGCUGGAGAACUGAGGGGGGCUGCUCCUAGUACGAGAGGACCGGAGUGGACGCAUCACUGGUGUUCGGGUUGUCAUGCCAAUGGCACUGCCCGGUAGCUAAAUGCGGAAGAGAUAAGUGCUGAAAGCAUCUAAGCACGAAACUUGCCCCGAGAUGAGUUCUCCCUGACUCCUUGAGAGUCCUGAAGGAACGUUGAAGACGACGACGUUGAUAGGCCGGGUGUGUAAGCGCAGCGAUGCGUUGAGCUAACCGGUACUAAUGAACCGUGAGGCUUAACCUUACAACGCCGAAGGUGUUU
Molecule: ribosomal RNA, 2931 nt
Filed under: Escherichia coli
Lineage: Bacteria; Pseudomonadati; Pseudomonadota; Gammaproteobacteria; Enterobacterales; Enterobacteriaceae
Description: 23S ribosomal RNA
Rfam family: Bacterial large subunit ribosomal RNA
Source: RNAcentral